AACGAACGCUGGCGGCGUGGAUUAGGCAUGCAAGUCGAACGAAGUCAGGGGAAUUGGCAACAAGACCCCGAAGCUUAGUGGCGAAAGGGUGAGUAACACCAUAGAUAACUUACCCUCGAGAUGGGGACAACACCUCGAAAGGGGUGCUAAUACCCAAUACUGUCAUUUGCCUGUGGGUGAAUGAUGAAAGGAGGCCUCUGUUUUAAGCUUCCGCUCAGGGAGGGGUUUAUGUCCUAUUAGCUUGUUGGUGAGGUAAAGGCUCACCAAGGCUGCGAUGGGUAGCCGGCCUGAGAGGGUGUUCGGCCACAUUGGGACUGAGACACUGCCCAGACUCCUACGGGAGGCUGCAGUCGAGAAUCUUCCGCAAUGCGCGCAAGCGUGACGGAGCGACGCCGCGUGGGUGAUGAAGGCCUUCGGGUUGUAAAGCCCUGUCAGUUGCCAAGAAUGGCGGGUCGUGAAUAGCGAUCCCGUUUGACUAAGCAGCAAAGGAAGCACCGGCUAAAUACGUGCCAGCAGCCGCGGUAAUACGUAUGGUGCAAACGUUGUUCGGAAUCACUGGGCUUAAAGCGGGCGUAGGCGGUUUGGUGCAAGUUGAAUGUGAAAUCCCUCGGCUUAACCGGGGAAGUGCAUCCAAAACUGCCAAACUUGAGUAUGGUAGAAGUGAGCGGAAUUCUCAGUGUAGCGGUGGAAUGCGUAGAUAUUGAGAAGAACACCAGUGGCGAAGGCGGCUCACUAGAUCAAUACUGACGCUGAAGCGCGAAAGCCAGGGGAGCGAACGGGAUUAGAUACCCCGGUAGUCCUGGCCGUAAACGAUGUGCACUGGGUGUAGGAGGCAUCGACCCCUCCUGUGCCGAAGUUAACGCAUUAAGUGCACCGCCUGGGGAGUACGGCCGCAAGGCUGAAACUCAAAGGAAUUGACGGGGGCCCGCACAAGCGGUGGAGCAUGUGGUUUAAUUCGAUGCAACGCGAAGAACCUUACCAGGGCUUGACAUGCGCCGGACAGUUUACGAAAGUAGAUCUUCCUUCGGAGAGCCUGCACAGGUGCUGCAUGGCUGUCGUCAGCUCGUGUCGUGAGAUGUUGGGUUAAGUCCCGCAACGAGCGCAACCCUUAUCGUUAGUUGCCAGCACUUCGGGUGGGGACUCUAACGAGACUGCCGGUGAUAAACCGGAGGAAGGUGGGGAUGACGUCAAGUCAGUAUGGCCCUUACGUCCUGGGCUACACACGUGCUACAAUGGUCGGUACAGAGGGUUGCCAAACCGUGAGGUGGAGCUAAUCCCAGAAAGCCGGCCCCAGUUCGGAUUGGAGUCUGCAACUCGACUCCAUGAAGUUGGAAUCGCUAGUAAUGGCGCAUCAGCUACGGCGCCGUGAAUACGUUCCCGGGCCUUGUACACACCGCCCGUCACAUCACGAAAGUCGACUGUACCAGAAGUCGCCCAAGCCAACCCCGCUUCGGCGGGGAGGCAGGUGCCGAAGGUAUGGUUGGUGAUUGGGAUG
Molecule: ribosomal RNA, 1495 nt
Filed under: uncultured prokaryote
Description: partial 16S ribosomal RNA
Rfam family: Bacterial small subunit ribosomal RNA
Source: RNAcentral